CUGGGAUCAGAGCCUGGCUUGCCAAUCAUCGUCUCCGUGCCGUAGUGAAGUUGCACGAUCUCAUUGUGUCUUUGUGGAAGAAACCCAGCUUCUGGAUCAGACAGACUCCAGAACCUCAGGGCUCAGCAUAUGGCAGCUCUUUUUCUCCCUCAGCAGGGCCCAUGGGGUCAGCAGGGAGCUGGCCACACCGUUACUGAAGGACCCGUGUGGGUUCUGUCGUCAUUGUGUGGCUGUCGGGUUGUGCUGGCCUCCUGGAGCUGGCAGAGGAGAAUGGAGAGAGGAGAGAGGAGGGAGGAUGUCACACCCACUCCCACAAACACCAGUUCCCCUCACAUCCCACCACGAGAACUGGGCGUUUGGGCACCUGGGAGUGGGGCUGGGAAGCGUGGUGAGGCUGUCAGUGAGGAGCAGAGGCUUUGGAGAGUGUAGUCUGCGACAGUCCGUCUGUCCCUGGAAGAUGCUGGUAAUGGUGUCUCUGUUGUCAGGUUGUUUGGGGAUGUGAUCACGUAUCGCAUUAAUGCAUAAAACUGCAGAGCACAGCGUCGGAGCCUAGCAAGUGGCUCAUGGAAAGCAAGCUGUUGGUAGUGGCCUGUUACCAUGAGUGACGUGUCUCACAUUUCCCGCUGACCUCUGAGGAAAGGGCCUUCUUUCUCUCCAGUCACUCUCUCCAGCUGUACUCUGCCUGCCCCAGGCACUCCUUGUUCCUGCCCCUCCUGUUUGGUAAAACCUCAAGAUGACAUUGACCUUGUCUGCCCCACCUGGGAGCUGUGGAGGGCACUGGGGCAUCAGGUGUGAGCUUGGUGCCCCUGCAGUCAUUUCUGUGGGUCCCUUGGGCUGCUCAGCCAGCCUGUGAGUCCGUGUGCAGCUCAUGGCAGCCCCUCAGCGUCUGUGCCUCUGCCCCCUCCUCAGUCCACAUCUCCACUUGGAAGCCUCAGAGGCACCAGCGUCAACGUGCCUGGCAAGGAUCCCACGGCGCUGCCCACUCCUCUCGCCUCCCCAGUUUCAACCAGCUGUGUGUCCUGCAGGAGCUACUCAGGGGCUCAGGCUUGGUUCCAGGCAGUGACCACUUCCCCAGCCCCAGAGUCUCAGCCUGUGGCCACCAGUGUGUCAGGCUUCCUGUUGAAAGUAAAGUGGGCCUCCGGCCGUGGCUUGCUCCUCACCCGUCCGCACGCCUGUGGACUCGCCUGUCGGCGCUUCUCCUUCACCUGGCAGGAGGGGGCUUGCCCCAACCACAGCCACGUCCUGAACCAGAGUCUCGAUCACACCUUUUCUGGGAAAGUCUUCCUUUGCUUACAUUCUUCACUUACAUACCCCCACCCCCCACCCCUUUGGGUAACUUCAUCCUUUUUCUACUCAAAAUAAAAGUAUGUUCCAGGU
Molecule: long non-coding RNA, 1377 nt
Organism: Myotis brandtii (Brandt's bat)
Lineage: Eukaryota; Metazoa; Chordata; Mammalia; Chiroptera; Vespertilionidae
Exons: 2
Source: RefSeq, a predicted model, not a curated record